UUUCCCUUUUUCACACCUUUCC
Molecule: microRNA, 22 nt
Filed under: Oreochromis niloticus (Nile tilapia)
Lineage: Eukaryota; Metazoa; Chordata; Actinopteri; Cichliformes; Cichlidae
Description: oni-miR-10611
Source: miRBase by way of RNAcentral